This is a long non-coding RNA of Etheostoma spectabile (orangethroat darter), 130 nucleotides long. RefSeq lists it as uncharacterized. The record is from RefSeq and is a predicted model, not a curated record. NCBI's taxonomy places the organism in Eukaryota, Metazoa, Chordata, Actinopteri, Perciformes, Percidae. The transcript is spliced from 3 exons.
UAGAGUGGUGAUCUGGUUUGCUCAGUCUGUCAGUGGUAAAACAGCAGUUUUAGUGGACGGAAAUUGAUGAUGCGCAUUUGCCCUAUAUGAUUACAUUGCAGCCCGGUUCGCAGCUGCUGAUCAAAGGGUU